GAUGAAGAACGCAGCGAAAUGCGAUAAGUAAUGUGAAUUGCAGAAUUCAGUGAAUCAUCGAAUCUUUGAACGCACAUUGCGCCCGCCAGUAUUCUGGCGGGCAUGCCUGUUCGAGCGUCAUUACAACCCUCAGGCCCCCGGGCCUGGCGUUGGGGAUCGGCAGAAGCCCCCUGUGGGCACACGCCGUCCCUCAAAUACAGUGGCGGUCCCGCCGCAGCUUCCAUUGCGUAGUAGCUAACACCUCGCAACUGGAGAGCGGCGCGGCCAUGCCGUAAAACACCCAACUUCUGAAUGUUGACCUCGAAUCAGGUAGGAAUACCCGCUGAACUUAAGCAUAUCAAUAAGCGGAGA
Molecule: unclassified non-coding RNA, 351 nt
Filed under: soil metagenome
Description: partial contains 5.8S ribosomal RNA, internal transcribed spacer 2, and large subunit ribosomal RNA
Rfam family: 5.8S ribosomal RNA (bases 1-120)
Source: RNAcentral